GAGUGAGAGGUUGCCUUUUCAGCCUGCAGGAAGCCCACCAACUUUGCUGUCUCGUGCAGGAAUUUGCCAAUAGAGAAGAGGUGCCAACUGCCUCUUCCAUCACAUCUCUUAAAUCCAGUAAAAAUCGUGAACACCAAAUUGAGUUCUCAUUAGCCAGCUGGUGAGUUCCCAAACAUCGUCUUUAAAAUAAGG
RNAcentral lists this long non-coding RNA (192 nucleotides) under Ornithorhynchus anatinus (platypus). Its description in RNAcentral is "lncRNA (ENSOANG00000046655.1)". The record is from RNAcentral. Lineage: Eukaryota; Metazoa; Chordata; Mammalia; Monotremata; Ornithorhynchidae.